UAUAAAGCAAGAAACAUCUGUGUGAGUGCGAGUAUGUGGCUUGCAUGUCUCUCUGACCGUUUGUCAGAUUGGCCUCAGCUUUUGGUUAUGGCUUGCGCAUGGAACGAUGAUGUGCAUCUUUUAAUAUGAAAUAUUUUUGG
This is a long non-coding RNA of Thalassophryne amazonica, 140 nucleotides long. RefSeq lists it as uncharacterized. The record is from RefSeq and is a predicted model, not a curated record. NCBI's taxonomy places the organism in Eukaryota, Metazoa, Chordata, Actinopteri, Batrachoidiformes, Batrachoididae. The transcript has 3 exons.